AGAGUUUGAUCAUGGCUCAGGACGAACGCUGGCGGCGUGCUUAACACAUGCAAGUCGAACGGAAAGGCCCUUCGGGGUACUCGAGUGGCGAACGGGUGAGUAACACGUGGGUGAUCUGCCCUGCACUUUGGGAUAAUCCUGGGAAACUGGGUCUAAUACCGAAUAUGACCAUGCGCCUCCUGGUGUGUGGUGGAAAGCUUUUGCGGUGUGGGAUGGGCCCGCGGCCUAUCAGCUUGUUGGUGGGGUAAUGGCCUACCAAGGCGACGACGGGUAGCCGGCCUGAGAGGGUGACCGGCCACACUGGGACUGAGAUACGGCCCAGACUCCUACGGGAGGCAGCAGUGGGGAAUAUUGCACAAUGGGCGCAAGCCUGAUGCAGCGACGCCGCGUGAGGGAUGACGGCCUUCGGGUUGUAAACCUCUUUCAGCACAGACGAAGCGCAAGUGACGGUAUGUGCAGAAGAAGGACCGGCCAACUACGUGCCAGCAGCCGCGGUAAUACGUAGGGUCCGAGCGUUGUCCGGAGUUACUGGGCGUAAAGAGCUCGUAGGUGGUUUGUCGCGUUGUUCGUGAAAACUCACAGCUUAACUGUGGGCGUGCGGGCGAUACGGGCAGACUUGAGUACUGCAGGGGAGACUGGAAUUCCUGGUGUAGCGGUGGAAUGCGCAGAUAUCAGGAGGAACACCGGUGGCGAAGGCGGGUCUCUGGGCAGUAACUGACGCUGAGGAGCGAAAGCGUGGGGAGCGAACAGGAUUAGAUACCCUGGUAGUCC
RNAcentral lists this ribosomal RNA (771 nucleotides) under uncultured bacterium. RNAcentral describes it as "bacterial SSU rRNA". It matches the Rfam family "Bacterial small subunit ribosomal RNA", at positions 8 to 796 of the family's 1533-position model. The record is from RNAcentral.